RNAcentral lists this ribosomal RNA (565 nucleotides) under uncultured Glomeromycotina. RNAcentral describes it as "SSU rRNA". It matches the Rfam family "Eukaryotic small subunit ribosomal RNA", at positions 548 to 1114 of the family's 1831-position model. Lineage: Eukaryota; Fungi; Glomeromycota. The record is from RNAcentral.
UUGGAGGGCAAGUCUGGUGCCAGCAGCCGCGGUAAUUCCAGCUCCAAUAGCGUAUAUUAAAGUUGUUGCAGUUAAAAAGCUCGUAGUUGAAUUUCGGGAUCAAUAUGCUGGUCGUGCCUUUGGUACGUACUGGUAUUAUUGGUUUCUCCUUUCUGAUGAAUCACGAUGUCAUUAAUUUGGUGUCAUGGGGAGUCAGGACUGUUACUUUGAAAAAAUUAGAGUGUUUAAAGCAGGCUUACGCUUGAAUACAUUAGCAUGGAAUAAUGAAAUAGGACGUUUAAUUCUAUUUUGUUGGUUUCUAGGAUUGACGUAAUGAUUAAUAGGGAUAGUUGGGGGCAUUAGUAUUCAAUUGUCAGAGGUGAAAUUCUUGGAUUUAUUGAAGACUAACUACUGCGAAAGCAUUUGCCAAGGAUGUUUUCAUUAAUCAAGAACGAAAGUUAGGGGAUCGAAGACGAUCAGAUACCGUCGUAGUCUUAACCAUAAACUAUGCCGACUAGGGAUCGGAUGAUGUUAAUUUUUUAAUGACUCAUUCGGCGCCUUACGGGAAACCAAAGUGUUUGGGUUC